GUGCUUGCUUUGGCAGCACAUAUACAAAAAAUGGAACAAUACAGACAAUAUUAGUAUGACCCCUGCCAAGGAUGGCACCAAAAUUCGUGAAGCGUUCUAUAUUUUU
This is a small nuclear RNA of Protopterus annectens (West African lungfish), 106 nucleotides long. Lineage: Eukaryota; Metazoa; Chordata; Ceratodontiformes; Protopteridae. The record is from RefSeq and is a predicted model, not a curated record.